This 222-nucleotide unclassified non-coding RNA is filed under the name Hevea brasiliensis (rubber tree). The record is from RNAcentral. Lineage: Eukaryota; Viridiplantae; Streptophyta; Magnoliopsida; Malpighiales; Euphorbiaceae.
GUGAAUGCUUUAGAAGCUAGUUUCAUACAAGCACCUUCAGGGGAAAAUGUUGACUGGAGUCUAUCUGCAAGAAUCUCUACUUGCGAUGUUACGGUUUUCAGGGAAACAUAUGACCGGUUUUUAGAAUUUAUGAAAAGGAGCAAUGCUGUUAGCCCUACUGUAGCAUUAGAAACUGCAACUGCGUUACAGAAAAAUAUUGAAAAGAUGACUCGCAGAGCUCAG